Molecule: long non-coding RNA, 564 nt
Filed under: Cavia porcellus (domestic guinea pig)
Lineage: Eukaryota; Metazoa; Chordata; Mammalia; Rodentia; Caviidae
Description: lncRNA (ENSCPOG00000032126.1)
Source: RNAcentral
GCAGCCCCCAGCAGUUCCAGCUCUGCAUCUGGUUGGGAAGGAAUUCCAGAUGCUGCAUCUUGCUGUGAGACCAGCACUGCUGAGGAAGCUGCAGGUGGAGCAGGCACAAGUUCUACAGUGGGUGAAAAACAUUUUUCUUCUCAGACUCAGAAGUGGAACCACCUGGGGAGAGAACCAAGCCACACAAGGAGGUGAUCCCUGCCUGGAAACCAGUGCCAUGUGGGGGCCGCUGCCAGGAUGGGGACAGCCACACCCCAGCCACUCUCCAUAAGUCAGUGACAUUCACGGACUGGGAUGGAGGGAACCAAGCCUCACAAAGAAGUGAUCCCAGCCUGUAAGCUACAUCACUUUCAUUGUUUUGUUGUGUUGUUUUUUAAUCUCUUUUGUUUUGUUUGAUUAUGUUAAAUCUGAUGGCAUGAACAACUAUUUCAAAAAUAGCAAGACAUUUUGGUAGACAGUUUGGAUUUACUAUUAGCAUAUAUUGAAGCCCUUUAUUGCAUUUAUUGUUUGUUUUUAUUUUGUCCAUUCUAUUCUGUUCUGUUUGAUUUUUACUAUGUCCGAAAG